RNAcentral lists this ribosomal RNA (468 nucleotides) under uncultured bacterium. RNAcentral describes it as "partial 16S ribosomal RNA". It matches the Rfam family "Bacterial small subunit ribosomal RNA", at positions 28 to 507 of the family's 1533-position model. The record is from RNAcentral.
GACGAACGCUGGCGGCGUGCUUAACACAUGCAAGUCGAACGGAAAGGCCCUGCUUUUGUGGGGUGCUCGAGUGGCGAACGGGUGAGUAACACGUGAGUAACCUGCCCUUGACUUUGGGAUAACUUCAGGAAACUGGGGCUAAUACCGGAUAGGAGCUCCUGCUGCAUGGUGGGGGUUGGAAAGUUUCGGCGGUUGGGGAUGGACUCGCGGCUUAUCAGCUUGUUGGUGGGGUAGUGGCUUACCAAGGCUUUGAGGGGUAGCCGGCCUGAGAGGGUGACCGGCAACAUGGGGACUGAGACAGGCCCGAGCCCCCUAGGGGGGGAAGGGGGGGGAAAUUUGGCACAAGGGGGGGAGGCUGGAGGCAGCAGCGCCGCGGGCGGGAUGAGGGCCUUCGGGUGGAAAACCGCUUUCGCCUGUGAAGAAGCGGGGGGGAGGGAAAUGUGUAAAGAAGCCCCGGCAAACUACGGG